CGACAAAUCACUGCUGUACAGGAGUUCAAGGAACCAUACCCGACACCUGCUAGCACUGAGACGCUUAGUAUAGCCUAUAUGGAGCUCAUGAAUAUGCAUGCCUAUCCGCAAAUCCAGGGUGGGGCCAAGUUCACCCUUCAACUUAGAUUAAAAACAGACGACGAUAUAGCUAAUAUUACCAUAACCACAGCCAUUAGGCUUACAUAUGCGGACGGUACGCUAAUUCCUAAGGAGUUCAUUUUCCAGGAAAUCUAUAAAGCAGUCAAGGUGUUUGCAGAAAACUACGGCGAUUCUGAGGUCCUGGCUAUCAUGAUAAGUUGUUAUACCGAUGGGUGUUUAGAUGUAGUACGACUUCCUACUAAAGAAGAAUCUGAUAAUUCUUUAAAGAAUGUUUUCUAUAAGUAUUGCGAAAUCACUAAUUUUAAAAAACCUAUGACGCCCAAAAACCAGCAUAAAGUAGCUCGCUAUAAUUGCUAUAUAACAAAAGAAAAUCAAGUGAUAAAGAACAAAACGAAAUUCAUAGUGGCCGAUCUAGAAACGAUUCCCUAUAAAUUAGGAGAAAACGACGAAUACAAUACACACGUCCCCUACGCAGGGGGGUAUAUGACGAUUGAUACGGAUAAGGGAUUAGAUGAAAAUAAAAUUAUAAUGUUCUAUGCUGAUGACUACAAAAUACUAUACGAAGAUUUUAAGUCAAUGAGUACAAAGAUGCUCACAGUUAUGAUGAACAGGUUGAUCAAAGAAGCCAGAUCAGCAAGAACAUGUUUGGUAGUAUACUUUCAUAAUUUAGGUCAGUUCGAUGGUCUUUUUAUACUAAGGCAUUUAACAAUGGAACACAGGGGUUUGGUAGUAGAACCCUUGGUUCGAAACCGUAUUAUUUACAAGAUAAGUGUCUAUACAGUAUCCCCCAAGGGCAGGC
This 919-nucleotide unclassified non-coding RNA is filed under the name Zea mays. RNAcentral's name for it is "misc RNA Zm00001eb437940". Lineage: Eukaryota; Viridiplantae; Streptophyta; Magnoliopsida; Poales; Poaceae. The record is from RNAcentral.